RNAcentral lists this ribosomal RNA (444 nucleotides) under uncultured bacterium. RNAcentral describes it as "SSU rRNA". It matches the Rfam family "Bacterial small subunit ribosomal RNA", at positions 26 to 518 of the family's 1533-position model. The record is from RNAcentral.
AGAGCGAACGCUGGCGGCAGGCCUAACACAUGCAAGUCGAACGCGAUCUUCGGAUCGAGUGGCGCACGGGUGAGUAACGCGUGGGAAUCUGCCCUGUGGUACGGAAUAACAUCGGGAAACUGGUGCUAAUACCGUAUAUCCCCUGAGGGGGAAAGAUUUAUCGCCAUGGGAGGAGCCCGCGUAGGAUUAGCUAGUUGGUGAGGUAACGGCUCACCAAGGCGACGAUCCUUAGCUGGUCUGAGAGGAUGAUCAGCCACACUGGGACUGAGAUACGGCCCAGACUCCUACGGGAGGCAGCAGUGGGGAAUAUUGGACAAUGGGGGAAACCCUGAUCCAGCCAUGCCGCGUGUGUGAUGAAGGCCUUCGGGUUGUAAAGCACUUUCGCACGUGACGAUGAUGACGGUAACGUGAGAAGAGCCCGGCUAACUUCGUGCCAGCAGCCGC